Molecule: unclassified non-coding RNA, 890 nt
Filed under: Hevea brasiliensis (rubber tree)
Lineage: Eukaryota; Viridiplantae; Streptophyta; Magnoliopsida; Malpighiales; Euphorbiaceae
Source: RNAcentral
CUUGGGCACAUGAACAUGAACCUGUCAAGGGACUUUUGGAUGCUGUUAAGACAAUCAAGCCAACAGUAUUGAUCGGAUCAUCUGGAGUUGGAAAAACAUUCACAAAGGAGGUGGUUGAGGCCAUGGCAUCCUUCAACGAGAAACCGCUAAUUCUCGCCCUCUCCAAUCCUACUUCACAAUCUGAGUGUACAGCUGAAGAAGCUUAUACAUGGAGUAAGGGUCGUGCUAUCUUUGCUAGUGGAAGUCCGUUUGACCCUGUUGAAUACAAUGGGAAAGUUUUUGUGCCUGGCCAGGCAAACAAUGCUUACAUAUUCCCUGGAUUUGGCUUGGGGUUGAUCAUGUCUGGUGCAAUUCGUGUGCAUGAUGACUUGCUUUUGGCAGCCUCCGAAGCUUUGGCCGCACAAGUAAAACAGGAAAACUUUGACAAGGGACUGAUUUACCCUCCAUUUUCCAACAUCCGGAAAAUUUCAGCCCACAUUGCUGCUAAAGUUGCUGCCAAAGCAUAUGAACUUGGUUUGUCAUCUCGUCUCCCACGUCCUAAGGAUCUUGUCCAGCAUGCAGAGAGCUGCAUGUACAGCCCAGUCUACCGAUGCUACCGUUAAACCUGCAGUGUAGUUUUGCACACUUUGUGGCCUGCAAUGUGCUUUAAGCCUUUCUCUUCUCAUUUCUGUUUGAAUUUUUUACCCUUUUUACAAAUUUUUGUAGUGACUGGAUUGUAAUUCAGUCGACUAUCAAUUAUUAAUUUCAGUUCUUAGCCAGUAAAAUUUUGGCAUUACUAUCAGAGCUCGACUUCCCUUUCCCUUAUUCCCUGAGAAUGUUGUCAAUUUUUUUUUAAAAUUUAUUCUGAUAAAUGAAUAUUAUAAAUCAUUGAAGAGGAAUUAAAAAGAAAU